This 698-nucleotide ribosomal RNA is filed under the name uncultured Escherichia sp. Its description in RNAcentral is "bacterial SSU rRNA". It matches the Rfam family "Bacterial small subunit ribosomal RNA", at positions 53 to 740 of the family's 1533-position model. The record is from RNAcentral. Lineage: Bacteria; Pseudomonadati; Pseudomonadota; Gammaproteobacteria; Enterobacterales; Enterobacteriaceae.
ACAUGCAAGUCGAACGGUAACAGGAAGAAGCUUGCUUCUUUGCUGACGAGUGGCGGACGGGUGAGUAAUGUCUGGGAAACUGCCUGAUGGAGGGGGAUAACUACUGGAAACGGUAGCUAAUACCGCAUAACGUCGCAAGACCAAAAAGGGGGACCUUCGGGCCUCUUGCCAUCGGAUGUGCCCAGAUGGGAUUAGCUAGUAGGUGGGGUAACGGCUCACCUAGGCGACGAUCCCUAGCUGGUCUGAGAGGAUGACCAGCCACACUGGAACUGAGACACGGUCCAGACUCCUACGGGAGGCAGCAGUGGGGAAUAUUGCACAAUGGGCGCAAGCCUGAUGCAGCCAUGCCGCGUGUAUGAAGAAGGCCUUCGGGUUGUAAAGUACUUUCAGCGGGGAGGAAGGGAGUAAAGUUAAUACCUUUGCUCAUUGACGUUACCCGCAGAAGAAGCACCGGCUAACUCCGUGCCAGCAGCCGCGGUAAUACGGAGGGUGCAAGCGUUAAUCGGAAUUACUGGGCGUAAAGCGCACGCAGGCGGUUUGUUAAGUCAGAUGUGAAAUCCCCGGGCUCAACCUGGGAACUGCAUCUGAUACUGGCAAGCUUGAGUCUCGUAGAGGGGGGUAGAACUCCAGGUGUAGCGGUGAAAUGCGUAGAGAUCUGGAGGAAUACCGGUGGCGAAGGCGGCCCCCUGGACGAAGAC